GGAGUGGGGCAUGCAAGCGCGGUUAGUCAAACUUAGACUAACCGAGGAAAGUCCGGACUCCAUGGGCAUGGUACCGGAUAACAUCCGGAGGGUAAAACCCUGGAUAGGGCCAUAGAAAAGAAAACCACCGAAAGGUAAGGGUGGAACGGUGAGGUAAGAGCUCACCAGACAUGGAGUAAUCCAUGUGCUUGGUAACCCCUACCUGGAGCAAGGUCAAGCAGGGAUAGGGUGGCUCCGCCCAUAUCCCGGGUAGACCGCUUGAGAAAUUUGGUAACAAAUUUCCUAGAUAGAUGCUUGCACAAACAGAAUCCGGCUUAUGCCCCACUCCAAUU
RNAcentral lists this RNase P RNA (332 nucleotides) under Thermosipho sp. (in: thermotogales). RNAcentral describes it as "Thermosipho sp. (in: Bacteria) RNase P RNA component class A". It matches the Rfam family "Bacterial RNase P class A". Rfam says of the family: Ribonuclease P (RNase P) is a ubiquitous endoribonuclease, found in archaea, bacteria and eukarya as well as chloroplasts and mitochondria. Its best characterised activity is the generation of mature 5'-ends of tRNAs by cleaving the 5'-leader elements of precursor-tRNAs. Cellular RNase Ps are ribonucleoproteins. The record is from RNAcentral. Lineage: Bacteria; Thermotogati; Thermotogota; Thermotogae; Thermotogales; Fervidobacteriaceae.